RNAcentral lists this ribosomal RNA (498 nucleotides) under uncultured bacterium. Its description in RNAcentral is "partial 16S ribosomal RNA". It matches the Rfam family "Bacterial small subunit ribosomal RNA", at positions 27 to 507 of the family's 1533-position model. The record is from RNAcentral.
GGACGAACGCUGGCGGCGUGCCUAAUACAUGCAAGUAGAACGCUGAAGAGAGGAGCUUGCUCUUCUUGGAUGAGUUGCGAACGGGUGAGUAACGCGUAGGUAACCUGCCUGGUAGCGGGGGAUAACUAUUGGAAACGAUAGCUAAUACCGCAUAAAAUGGAUUAUCGCAUGAUAAUCCAUUGAAAGGUGCAAAUGCAUCACUACCAGAUGGACCUGCGUUGUAUUAGCUAGUUGGUGGGGUAACGGCUCACCAAGGCGACGAUACAUAGCCGACCUGAGAGGGUGAUCGGCCACACUGGGACUGAGACACGGCCCAGACUCCUACGGGAGGCAGCAGUAGGGAAUCUUCGGCAAUGGACGGAAGUCUGACCGAGCAACGCCGCGUGAGUGAAGAAGGUUUUCGGAUCGUAAAGCUCUGUUGUAAGAGAAGAACGAGUGUGAGAGUGGAAAGUUCACACUGUGACGGUAUCUUACCAGAAAGGGACGGCUAACUACGUG